UAUGNNAGAUUAGUGCAAUGGAUUUAAGCCCCAUUUAUAAAGUCUAUACUUUUUUUAGAAAAAUA
RNAcentral lists this transfer RNA (65 nucleotides) under Nicrophorus apo. Its description in RNAcentral is "tRNA-Leu". Lineage: Eukaryota; Metazoa; Arthropoda; Insecta; Coleoptera; Silphidae. The record is from RNAcentral.